UUGGUCAAUGGGGGCAAUCCUGAACCAGCAAUGCCGCGUGUGGGAUGACGGGGUCUCAGCCCUGUAAACCACUGUCGGACGGGACAAAAGGAGCCUUCAGGGCUCUGGGACGGUACCGUCAAAGGAAGGGUCGGCUAACUACGUGCCAGCAGCCGCGGUAAUACGUAGGACCCGAGCGUUGUCCGGAAUUACUGGGUAUAAAGGGUGCGCAGGCGGCCNUGUGCGUCAGAGGUGAAAUCUCCGGGCUUAACCCGUAGGGUGCCUUUGAUACGGCAUGGCUUGAGUCCUUACAGAGGGUGAUGGAAUUCCUGGUGUAGCAGUGAAAUGCGUAAAUAUCAGGAGGAACACCGGUGGCGAAGGCGGUCACCUGGCUCGGCACUGACGCUUAGGCACGAAAGCGUGGGGAUCAAACAGGAUUAGAUACCCUGGUAGUCCACGCCCUAAACGAUGUAUGCUUGGUGUUGGAUCAGCAAUGAUUCAGUGCCGAAGGGAAUCUGUUAAGCAUACCACCUGG
RNAcentral lists this ribosomal RNA (514 nucleotides) under uncultured bacterium. RNAcentral describes it as "bacterial SSU rRNA". It matches the Rfam family "Bacterial small subunit ribosomal RNA", at positions 364 to 876 of the family's 1533-position model. The record is from RNAcentral.